RNAcentral lists this long non-coding RNA (957 nucleotides) under Fragaria vesca (wild strawberry). RNAcentral's name for it is "long non-coding RNA (FVES_LNC005003)". The record is from RNAcentral. Lineage: Eukaryota; Viridiplantae; Streptophyta; Magnoliopsida; Rosales; Rosaceae.
CAGUUGCAGUAGCAUAGUAGAUCUGCAAGAAAGCAAGCAAUAGGCUAAUCAGUUAAAAAAAUUACCAGUUCUAACAAUAAAUUAAGCAUGUUUCAACCAUAUUACUAUCAAUACCACAUCUGCAAAACAAAGAUAAGCAUAGCAGAUCUGCAACACAAAACAUAGAAUAGGCUGAUCAGUACAAAAAAAAAUACCAGUUCUAGUGCAACAGUAACUUAAUCAUGAAGCAAACAAAGAUAAGCAUAGCAGAUCUGCAAUACAAAGCAUAUAAUAGACAUCAAGUUAAAAAAAAAUUAAAUAGGCUGAUCAGAAUUUAAAAAAAAAAAUAACAUUCCAGUUGCAACAGAUCUGCAAAACAAGCAACCAUAUACGGAUCAGUUAAAAAAAACAACUAUAAAAAACUUACAAGCAAUAAAACAACCAAUCAGUCUACAAAAAUAAGCAUUGUAUUCACCUGUAGAUGAACAACUAUCCUCAUCCAUAUUACUCGAAUUUGAAUCUCCAUCCUUACUAAUAGCAGGUCUACAUAAAUAAGCAUUGUAGAGAUACAUAUCAAUAAAAAAAAAAUACAUAAAUAUAAAUAUUAAUAUCAAUCACAAUUAUCUGAAAAUUCUUACUUGGCAAGAAGUCUUGGACAAUUUCUUUUGUCAUGUGACUGACCAUAUAAUCCACAUCCAUGACAUUUCCUACCUUGACUCUCUUUUGCCUUACCUUUCCUCUUCUCUUUUCCUUUCCUCAACCUUUUGCCACACCCUUUUGCUCUAACUUCAUCGGGUUCAUUAAAAACAUGCUGAAUAAUAGGAGUCUCGGUCUCUAAAACUGGUGCAAGAUUACCAUUUGACAAUCUGUUAAACUUCUCCAAGAAAUCAUCCAAGGACUCCAUUAGGAGCUGGCUAGCCUCAUCACUGACAAUUGCCUUAUCAAUGGCAUAUGUAGCAUGUUGUAACAAUUUAGUCC